Molecule: ribosomal RNA, 76 nt
Filed under: Bison bison bison
Lineage: Eukaryota; Metazoa; Chordata; Mammalia; Artiodactyla; Bovidae
Source: RNAcentral
CUCGGAAGCUAAGCAGGGUCGGGUCCUGGUUAGGAUCUUGGAUGGGAGACCACCUGGGAAUCCCGGGUGCUCGAGG